GAUGAACGCUGGCGGCGUGCCUAAUACAUGCAAGUCGAGCGAACGGACGAGAAGCUUGCUUCUCUGAUGUUAGCGGCGGACGGGUGAGUAACACGUGGAUAACCUACCUAUAAGACUGGGAUAACUUCGGGAAACCGGAGCUAAUACCGGAUAAUAUUUUGAACCGCAUGGUUCAAAAGUGAAAUACGGUCUUGCUGUCACUUAUAGAUGGAUCCGCGCUGCAUUAGCUAGUUGGUAAGGUAACGGCUUACCAAGGCAACGAUGCAUAGCCGACCUGAGAGGGUGAUCGGCCACACUGGAACUGAGACACGGUCCAGACUCCUACGGGAGGCAGCAGUAGGGAAUCUUCCGCAAAGGGCGAAAGCCUGACGGAGCAACGCCGCGUGAGUGAUGAAGGUCUUCGGAUCGUAAAACUCUGUUAUUAGGGAAGAACAUAUGUGUAAGUAACUGUGCACAUCUUGACGGUACCUAAUCAGAAAGCCACGGCUAACUACGUG
This 497-nucleotide ribosomal RNA is filed under the name uncultured bacterium. RNAcentral describes it as "partial 16S ribosomal RNA". It matches the Rfam family "Bacterial small subunit ribosomal RNA", at positions 28 to 507 of the family's 1533-position model. The record is from RNAcentral.